GGCCCUUCAGCUCAGUGGUGAGAGCGAGCGGCUCAUAACCGCCAGGUCGCCGGUUCAAGCCCGGCAGGGGCCACCA
This 76-nucleotide transfer RNA is filed under the name Escherichia coli. Its description in RNAcentral is "tRNA-Ile". It matches the Rfam family "tRNA". From Rfam's summary of the family: Transfer RNA (tRNA) molecules are approximately 80 nucleotides in length. Their secondary structure includes four short double-helical elements and three loops (D, anti-codon, and T loops). The record is from RNAcentral. Lineage: Bacteria; Pseudomonadati; Pseudomonadota; Gammaproteobacteria; Enterobacterales; Enterobacteriaceae.